CGAGCGGAAGGCCCUUCGGGGUACUCGAGCGGCGAACGGGUGAGUAACACGUGGGUAACCUGCCUCUAGCUCUGGGAUAAGCCUGGGAAACUGGGUCUAAUACCGGAUAUGACGCGUCCCCGCAUGGGGGUGUGUGGAAAGUUUUUCGGCUGGAGAUGGACUCGCGGCCUAUCAGCUUGUUGGUGGGGUAGUGGCCUACCAAGGCGAUGACGGGUAGCCGGCCUGAGAGGGCGACCGGCCACACUGGGACUGAGACACGGCCCAGACUCCUACGGGAGGCAGCAGUGGGGAAUAUUGCGCAAUGGGCGGAAGCCUGACGCAGCAACGCCGCGUGAGGGAUGACGGCCUUCGGGUUGUAAACCUCUUUCAGCGCUGACGAAGCCUUCGGGUGACGGUAGGCGCAGAAGAAGCACCGGCUAACUACGUGCCAGCAGCCGCGGUAAUACGUAGGGUGCGAGCGUUGUCCGGAAUUAUUGGGCGUAAAGGGCUCGUAGGCGGUUUGUUGCGUCUGCUGUGAAAGCCCGGGGCUUAACCCCGGGUCUGCAGUGGAUACGGGCAGGCUAGAGUCCGGCAGGGGAGACUGGAAUUCCUGGUGUAGCGGUGGAAUGCGCAGAUAUCAGGAGGAACACCGGUGGCGAAGGCGGGUCUCUGGGCCGGUACUGACGCUGAGGAGCGAAAGCGUGGGGAGCGAACAGGAUUAGAUACCCUGGUAGUCCACGCCGUAAACGUUGGGCGCUAGGUGUGGGUUCCCUUCCACGGGGUCCGUGCCGUAGCUA
Molecule: ribosomal RNA, 776 nt
Filed under: Jiangella sp.
Lineage: Bacteria; Bacillati; Actinomycetota; Actinomycetes; Jiangellales; Jiangellaceae
Description: bacterial SSU rRNA
Rfam family: Bacterial small subunit ribosomal RNA
Source: RNAcentral